CGGGACGGGUGAGUAAUGCUUGGGAAUCUAGCUUAUGGAGGGGGAUAACUACGGGAAACUGUAGCUAAUACCGCGUAGAAUCGGGGGAUGAAAGUGUGGGACCUUCGGGCCACAUGCCAUAGGAUGAGCCCAAGUGGGAUUAGGUAGUUGGUGAGGUAAAGGCUCACCAAGCCGACGAUCUCUAGCUGGUCUGAGAGGAUGACCAGCCACACUGGGACUGAGACACGGCCCAG
RNAcentral lists this ribosomal RNA (233 nucleotides) under uncultured bacterium. RNAcentral describes it as "partial 16S ribosomal RNA". It matches the Rfam family "Bacterial small subunit ribosomal RNA", at positions 100 to 334 of the family's 1533-position model. The record is from RNAcentral.